This 521-nucleotide small RNA is filed under the name Pongo abelii (Sumatran orangutan). RNAcentral describes it as "retained intron". Lineage: Eukaryota; Metazoa; Chordata; Mammalia; Primates; Hominidae. The record is from RNAcentral.
ACAGAGCCACUAGAUUAGUCUGUGAGGGAAGGAGAUGCCUCUUCCUUCCCUUCUAUAGUGGGUUAAACCCAGCUGGCACCCUCUGGAACUACGGGAACAAUAUUCUUCAAGAGAAGCUCACUCUACCAAAGCCAGGAGCACAGUAUUCUCAGGAUCUCAACAAGGAAGAGCAGACCAAGCUAUCAACAGUCCUCAGCUGGCCAACCUGUAAAUGCUAAGCCCACACCAAGAACUCCUGAUCACGAAAUACAAGGAUCAAAAGAAGCUUUGAUUCAAGAUUUGGAAAGAAAGCUGAAAUGCAAGGACACCCUUCUUCAUAAUGGAAAUCAAGUGGGCAAGAUGUCUAUUUUGUACAAAAGGCCAAUUAAACUAUAAAAUCUAAUUUUAAUAAGGAAGUUCUAUCUCACACAUCUAGGUCCAUAUAUCAACAAGGAAUAAGAUUAUCUAAAAAGAAGGAAUAUUUGGGCCCUAUUCCAUUUCUCUCUGCAUGAAAUCACCUCUUGGUUUACAGUAGUAAAAUA